GAAUAUUGCACAAUGGGCGCAAGCCUGAUGCAGCAACGCCGCGUGAGGGAUGACGGCCUUCGGGUUGUAAACCUCUUUUGUCAGGGAAGAAGCCUUUGGGUGACGGUACCUGGAGAAAAAGCACCGGCUCACUACGUGCCAGCAGCCGCGGUAAUACGGAGGGCGCAAGAGUUGUCCGGAAGUAUGGGGCGUAAAGUGCUCGUAGGCGGGUUGUCGCGUCUGCUGUGAAAACCCGAGGCUCAACCUCGGGCCUGCAGUGGGUACGGGCAGGCUAGAGUGCGGUAGGGGAGAUGGGAAUUCCUGGUGUAGCGGUGGAAUGCGCAGAUAUCAGGAGGAACACCGAUGGCGAAGGCAGAUCUCUGGGCCGCUACUGACGCUGAGGAGCGAAAGCAUGGGGAGCGAACAG
Molecule: ribosomal RNA, 406 nt
Filed under: uncultured bacterium
Lineage: Bacteria
Description: partial 16S ribosomal RNA
Rfam family: Bacterial small subunit ribosomal RNA
Source: RNAcentral